AACGAACGCUGGCGGCGUGUUUAAGACAUGCAAGUCGCACGGGAUAAGACAUGUAGUAAUACUUGUUUUAUUUAGUGGCGCACGGGUGAGUAACACGUGAAUUACAUGCCCUAUAGUGGGGAAUAGCCCAGGGAAACUUGGAUUAAGACCCCAUGGUAUCGAAAGAUUAAAGGUGGCCGCAAGGCUGUCGCUAUAGGAUUGGUUCGCGCCCUAUCAGCUUGUUGGUGAGGUAACGGCUCACCAAGGCAAUGACGGGUACCUGGUCUGAGAGGACGAACAGGCACACUGGAACUGAGACACGGUCCAGACACCUACGGGUGGCAGCAGUCGAGAAUAAUUCACAAUGGGGGCAACCCUGAUGGUGCAACGCCGCGUGGAGGAUGACGGUCUUCGGAUUGUAAACUCCUGUCAUCUGGGAGAAAGACCUGACGGUAAAUAGCCGGCAGGGUUGAUAGUACCAGAAGAGGAAGGGACGGCUAACUUCGUGCCAGCCGCCGCGGUAA
Molecule: ribosomal RNA, 503 nt
Filed under: uncultured bacterium
Lineage: Bacteria
Description: partial 16S ribosomal RNA
Rfam family: Bacterial small subunit ribosomal RNA
Source: RNAcentral